This 462-nucleotide ribosomal RNA is filed under the name Dohrniphora insulana. RNAcentral's name for it is "partial 16S ribosomal RNA". The record is from RNAcentral. Lineage: Eukaryota; Metazoa; Arthropoda; Insecta; Diptera; Phoridae.
GUCUGACCUGCCCACUGAAUAAUUAAAUGGCCGCAGUAUUCUAACUGUGCAAAGGUAGCAUAAUCAUUAGUCUUUUAAUUGAAGGCUGGAAUGAAUGGUUGAAUGAAAUAUUAACUGUUUCAAUUUAAUUUAUUAUAGAAUUUUAUUUUUUAGUCAAAAAGCUAAAAUUUAUUUAAAAGACGAGAAGACCCUAUAAAUCUUUAUAAUUAUUUAAAUUAUUAAUAUAUUGAUAAUUUAAUUUUUAAUUUAAUUAAUUAUUUUAUUGGGGUGAUAUUAAAAUUUACAAAACUUUUAAUUAUUAAUUAACAUGAAUUAAUGAAUUGUUGAUCCAUUUUUAUGAUUAAAAAAUUAAGUUACUUUAGGGAUAACAGCGUAAUUUUUUUAGAGAGUUCAUAUUGAUAAAAAAGAUUGCGACCUCGAUGUUGGAUUAAGAUAUAGAUUUAGGUGCAGCAGUUUAAGUCU